RNAcentral lists this ribosomal RNA (25 nucleotides) under Collybiopsis polygramma. Its description in RNAcentral is "Gymnopus polygrammus partial 28S ribosomal RNA". Lineage: Eukaryota; Fungi; Basidiomycota; Agaricomycetes; Agaricales; Omphalotaceae. The record is from RNAcentral.
AUUUAACCUCAAAUCAGGUAGGACU